This 248-nucleotide unclassified non-coding RNA is filed under the name Hevea brasiliensis (rubber tree). Lineage: Eukaryota; Viridiplantae; Streptophyta; Magnoliopsida; Malpighiales; Euphorbiaceae. The record is from RNAcentral.
AGCACAUGUGCAGUGCCAUAGCACUUUCUUAUUUUGCUUUUUUGGUUCUUUAUUAGUUACUAAACGUUAUGCUUUUCUGCUCUGAUACUCUUUCAUUCAAGAUAAAUUAUGCUAGAUAAAGAGCUUUGCUGCAUAAUGAAGGAACUUCAAGAAGCAGGCUAAAUUAAUACAAAAUUUUGAUAAUCUUAGCCAUGUAUGCAUCCAUCUAAUCCAGAGGCAUCAUACCUGAGUGAUAGUUGCAACUAAGA